AGUGAACGCUGGCGGUAGGCCUAACACAUGCAAGUCGAACGGCAGCACAGUAAGAGCUUGCUCUUACGGGUGGCGAGUGGCGGACGGGUGAGGAAUACAUCGGAAUCUACUUUUUCGUGGGGGAUAACGUAGGGAAACUUACGCUAAUACCGCAUACGACCUACGGGUGAAAGCAGGGGAUCUUCGGACCUUGCGCGAUUGAAUGAGCCGAUGUCGGAUUAGCUAGUUGGCGGGGUAAAGGCCACCAAGGCGACGAUCCGUAGCUGGUCUGAGAGGAUGAUCAGCCACACUGGAACUGAGACACGGUCCAGACUCCUACGGGAGGCAGCAGUGGGGAAUAUUGGACAAUGGGCGCAAGCCUGAUCCAGCCAUACCGCGUGAGUGAAGAAGGCCUUCGGGUUGUAAAGCCCUUUUGUUGGGAAAGAAAAGCAGCAGGUUAAUACCCCGCUGUUCUGACGGUACCCAAAGAAUAAGCACCGGCUAACUUCGUG
RNAcentral lists this ribosomal RNA (491 nucleotides) under uncultured bacterium. Its description in RNAcentral is "partial 16S ribosomal RNA". It matches the Rfam family "Bacterial small subunit ribosomal RNA", at positions 29 to 507 of the family's 1533-position model. The record is from RNAcentral.